Molecule: non-coding RNA, 72 nt
Organism: Potamilus streckersoni
Lineage: Eukaryota; Metazoa; Mollusca; Bivalvia; Unionida; Unionidae
Source: the annotation of a GenBank genome assembly
GCUCCGGUGGUCUAGUGGUUAUAGCGUCCGCCUCGUAUGCGGAGGUCGUGGGUUUGAUCCCAGGCCGAGUCA